RNAcentral lists this ribosomal RNA (253 nucleotides) under uncultured bacterium. RNAcentral describes it as "partial 16S ribosomal RNA". It matches the Rfam family "Bacterial small subunit ribosomal RNA", at positions 524 to 776 of the family's 1533-position model. The record is from RNAcentral.
UACGGGGGGUGCGAGCGUUGUCCGGAAUCACUGGGCGUAAAGGGCGCGUAGGCGGCCUGAUAAGUAGGGGGUGAAAUCCUGCGGCUUAACCGCAGGGCUGCCUUCUAAACUGUCAGGCUCGAGCACAGUAGAGGCAGGUGGAAUUCCCGGUGUAGCGGUGGAAUGCGUAGAGAUCGGGAAGAACAUCAGUGGCGAAGGCGGCCUGCUGGGCUGUUGCUGACGCUGAGGCGCGACAGCGUGGGGAGCAAACAGG